RNAcentral lists this ribosomal RNA (253 nucleotides) under uncultured bacterium. RNAcentral describes it as "partial 16S ribosomal RNA". It matches the Rfam family "Bacterial small subunit ribosomal RNA", at positions 524 to 776 of the family's 1533-position model. The record is from RNAcentral.
UACGGGGGGUGCAAGCGUUAUUCGGAAUCAUUGGGCGUAAAGAGCGUGUAGGCGGCCGGUUAAGUCAGGUGUGAAAGCCCGGGGCUCAACCUCGGAAGUGCACUUGAAACUGGUCGGCUUGAGUUCGGGAGAGGGAAGCGGAAUUCCUGGUGUAGAGGUGAAAUUCGUAGAUAUCAGGAGGAACACCGGUGGCGAAGGCGGCUUCCUGGACCGAAACUGACGCUGAGACGCGACAGCGUGGGGAGCAAACAGG